Long non-coding RNA from Eriocheir sinensis (Chinese mitten crab), 1495 nucleotides. RefSeq lists it as uncharacterized. The transcript has 4 exons. The record is from RefSeq and is a predicted model, not a curated record. Lineage: Eukaryota; Metazoa; Arthropoda; Malacostraca; Decapoda; Varunidae.
GGGCUCCAGGCAGGGCUCCUCGGCGUCCCUCCGGGCCCCGACGGAGGUGCCGGAGAUCUUCCGGCUACAAACCCGGGCAGGUGGAGCUCGUUAGCCGUGGUAGGCAAUCUGCCUAGGAGAGCAAACUCUAUACAAACCCGGGCAGGUGAGGCUCGUUAGCCGUGGUAGGCAAUUCACCUAGGAGAGCAAACUCUAUACAAACCCGGGCAGGUGAGGCUCGUUAGCCGUGGUAGGCAAUUCACCUAGGAGAGCAAACUCUAUACAAACCCGGGCAGGUGAGGCUCGUUAGCCGUGGUAGGCAAUUCACCUAGGAGAGCAAACUCUAUACAAACCCGGGCAGGUGGAGGUCGUUAGCCGUGGGAGGCAAUUCACCUAGGAGAGCAAACUCCGAACAAUAAACCCGGGCAGGUGGAGGUCGUUAGCCGUGGGAGGCAAUUCACCUAGGAGAGCAAACUCUAAACAAACCCGGGCAGGUGAGGCUCGUUAGCCGUGGUAGGCAAUUCACCUAGGAGAGCAAACUCCGAACAACAAACCCGGGCAGGUGGAGCUCGUCAGCCGUGGUAGGCAAUCUGCCUAGGAGAGCAAACUCCGAACAAUAAACCCGGGCAGGUGGAGGUCGUCAGCCGUGGUAGGCAAUUCACCUAGGAGAGCAAACUCCGAACAAUAAACCCGGGCAGGUGGAGGUCGUCAGCCGUGGUAGGCAAUCUGCCUAGGAGAGCAAACUCUAAAUAAACCCGGGCUUGUGGUGCUCGUUAUACUGUCGUAGACAAUCCACGCGAUGGGAACACCAAAGAAAAGGAAAAUAAAAAACACCACCAGAAAAAUGGAAAAUACAGAAACGAAACAUCAAGAAAAGAAACAAAAAGAUCAUCCACCUUUAGGCCCUAACAUCGCCAAAAUUAUGGGUGGGUCUCUUCUGGGGAGAAAGCGGCUCAUCCAGACCAAAGAACAUCAACAAAAGGAUGAUAUGAAUAAAUUAACAUAAAAAACAAACAAAGAAAAACACAUCAAGGAAAGAAAAAUAUAACAAACAUCAUCCACCUUCCGGCAAUGACUAACAUCACCAAAAUUAUGGGUGGGUCUCUUCUGGGGAGAAAGCGGCUCACCCAGACCAAAGAACAUCAACAAGGGAUGAUAUAGAAAAGAACACCAAAAAAAUAUGGAAAAAGAACAGAAAAAACAUCGAAAAAGAAAAGCAACAGAAAUAAAUGAGCAACAUCGAGAAAAGAGAAAUACAAAGAAACAUCAUCCACCUUUCGGCCCCAAACAACAUCACCAAAAUUAUGGAUGGGUCUCUUCUGGGAGGAAAGCGGCUCAUCCAGUCCAAGGAACAUCAACAAAAGGAUGAUGGGAAAAAAAUAACAACAAAAAACAUCAAAAAGAAGUAAAAAGAAAAAGAACAGGAAAACAUCGAAAAAGAAAACAAAAGCAAUAAAAAGAACGAAAAACACGACAUCAAGAAAAUAAAAUAAAACAAACAUCAUCCACCUUUCGG